GGCGAACGCUGGCGGCGUGCUUAACACAUGCAAGUCGAACGGAAAGGCCCUGCUUUUGUGGGGUGCUCGAGUGGCGAACGGGUGAGUAACACGUGAGUAACCUGCCCUUGACUUUGGGAUAACUUCAGGAAACUGGGGCUAAUACCGGAUAGGAGCUCCUGCUGCAUGUGGGUGUUGGAAAGUUUCGGCGGUUGGGGAUGGACUCGCGGCUUAUCAGCUUGUUGGUGGGGUAGUGGCUUACCAAGGCUUUGACGGGUAGCCGGCCUGAGAGGGUGACCGGCCACAUUGGGACUGAGAUACGGCCCAGACUCCUACGGGAGGCAGGAGUGGGGAAUAUUGCACAAUGGGCGGAAGCAUGAUGCAGCAACGCCGCGUGCGGGAUGACGGCCUUCGGGUUGUAAACCGCUUUCGCCUGUGACGAAGCGUGAGUGACGGUAAUGGGUAAAGAAGCACCGGCUAACUACGUG
RNAcentral lists this ribosomal RNA (467 nucleotides) under uncultured bacterium. RNAcentral's name for it is "partial 16S ribosomal RNA". It matches the Rfam family "Bacterial small subunit ribosomal RNA", at positions 28 to 507 of the family's 1533-position model. The record is from RNAcentral.